UUGCAGUCAGUUAAGCUGACUGUGCUCUUUUCCCCGAGGGGGCCUGGUGUACCAUGGCUGCAAACAGCCUCUUCGCAGGGUAUGCAUCAUGGUGCCUAUAUGGGUUGCUCUAAGGGACCCUGGAGACAGCC
Small nucleolar RNA from Capra hircus (goat), 131 nucleotides. Its record names the gene SNORA70. It matches the Rfam family "Small nucleolar RNA SNORA70". Rfam says of the family: snoRNA U70 seems to be exclusive to mammals and is a member of the H/ACA class of snoRNA which contain H (ANANNA) and ACA box motifs. H/ACA box snoRNAs are involved in the conversion of uridines to pseudouridines (5-ribosyluracil) a constituent of structural RNAs (transfer, ribosomal, small nuclear, and small nucleolar). The record is from Ensembl. Lineage: Eukaryota; Metazoa; Chordata; Mammalia; Artiodactyla; Bovidae.